AGUGGAUGGGGAGCAACCUAGUUGUGCGUGUGUAAAGGUAGUGCCAAGAAAAGCGGUGAUCAUGAUGAAAAUCAAUUCCCGGUACCCGAAACCGACACAGGUGGGCAAGUAGAGAAUACUAAGGGGCGCGAGGUAACUCUCUCCAAGGAACUCGGCAAAAUGACCCCGUAACUUAGGGAGAAGGGGUGCCACCGAGAGGUGGUCGCAGUGAAGAGGCCCAGGCGACUGUUUAGCAAAAACAUAGGUCUCUGCAAACUCGAAAGAGGAGGUAUAGGGGCUGACGCCUGCCCAGUGCCGGAAGGUUAAAGAAGUUGGUCAGUCUUAGGAUGAAGCUAGCGACUGAAGCCCCGGUGAACGGCGGCCGUAACUAUAACGGUCCUAAGGUAGCGAAAUUCCUUGUCGGGUAAGUUCCGACCCGCACGAAAGGCGUAACGAUCUGGGCCUGUCUCGGAGAGAGGCUCGGCGAAAUAGGAUUGUCUGUGAAGAUACGGACUACCUGCAUUUGGACAGAAAGACCCUAUGAAGCUUUACUAUAGCUUGGAAUUGUGUUCGGGCUUCCUGUGCGCAGGAUAGGUGGGAGGCGAAGAAGGUAUUCUUGUGGGGAUUCUGGAGCCAACGGUGAGAUACCACUCUCAGGAGGCUAGAAUUCUAACUUAAUUAAGGACAGUUUCAGGUGGGUAGUUUGACUGGGGCGGUCGCCUCCAAAAAGGUAACGGAGGCGUACAAAGGUUCCCUCAGACUGGUUGAAAUCAGUCGCAGAGUGCAAAGGCAGAAGGGAGCUUGACUGCGAGAAGUACAGUUCGAGCAGGGUGGAAACACGGUCUUAGUGAUCCGACGGUGCUGUGUGGAAGGGCCGUCGCUCAACGGAUAAAAGUUACUCUAAGGAUAACAGGCUGAUCUCCCCCAAGAGUUCACAUCGACGGGGAGGUUUGGCACCUCGAUGUCGGCUCAUCGCAACCUGGGGCGGAAGUACGUCCCAAGGGUUGGGCUGUUCGCCCAUUAAAGCGGUACGUGAGCUGGGUUCAGAACGUCGUGAGACAGUUCGGUCCAUAUCCGAUGUAGGCGUGAGAAUAUUGAGAGGAGCCUUCCUUAGUACGAGAGGACCGGGAAGGACGCACCGCUGGUGUACCUGUUAUGAUGCCAAUUGUAAACGCAGGGUAGCCAAGUGCGGAGAGGAUAACCGCUGAAAGCAUCUAAGUGGGAAGCCCACCUCAAGAUGAGUAUUCUGGUGUAAGGUCACGGGAAGACGACCCGUAAAUAGGCACGAGGUGGAAGUGCAGAGAUGUAUGAAGCCGAAGUGUACUAAUAGACCGUCGGCUUGACCU
This 1325-nucleotide ribosomal RNA is filed under the name metagenome. Its description in RNAcentral is "bacterial LSU rRNA". It matches the Rfam family "Bacterial large subunit ribosomal RNA", at positions 1561 to 2925 of the family's 2925-position model. The record is from RNAcentral.